Molecule: long non-coding RNA, 638 nt
Organism: Mastomys coucha (southern multimammate mouse)
Lineage: Eukaryota; Metazoa; Chordata; Mammalia; Rodentia; Muridae
Exons: 5
Source: RefSeq, a predicted model, not a curated record
UCUUACCUCAGUGUCAAAGAUAAAGCCCCACAGUAGUGAAAGUGAUAAGAACAACUUCCAGUUCUGCAGUAACCAUGGCAGCAGUGACAGAAGUUUAGCAUGAAGUAUAUUCCAACCUGUCUGGAGAUUAACAAGUAUUUUAAAGUCAUAGUAAGCCAAAAAGAAGUAGACAGUACUCAUUUGAUGGGGGAAGAAAUGUGUUUAUUUCAAUAUUAUGGAAGGAGCAGCUCAUCCAAGAAAACCAGGUUUCUGAGUUGAAGAGAAAGAUAAUCACCAACCAAACUCGCAAGAGAAAGGGAAUUUCCUAAGGAAGAAUGAUAUCAUUCAUCAGACCGUAAAAUGUUAUGGAGGAAUACCAAAUUAAUAUUAUUCCUGAUUUGAGAAAGCUGUGGCAGACUGUAUGGCUCCAGUUCGGACAUUUCCCAAAAGACAAACUGUAGAGGCUGUAAGGAGAAAGGAAAGUAGGAAAGUCAACGAGGAUUUUAUGCUUGGGAAGAGAAUUUUUGAUGGAGAUGUCAACGUACUGCUGAGCAUCAAUAACUUCUACUCUCUUGCCUGAAUUUGAGACCUCCUGUUCAAAUGGAAGCAUCUCAUCCCACUUCAGAGAGACUUUGUGUUUGAAGCAUGUAAUCAUCACC